Molecule: ribosomal RNA, 496 nt
Filed under: uncultured bacterium
Lineage: Bacteria
Description: partial 16S ribosomal RNA
Rfam family: Bacterial small subunit ribosomal RNA
Source: RNAcentral
GAUGAACGCUGGCGGCGUGCCUAAUACAUGCAAGUCGAGCGAACAGAUAAGGAGCUUGCUCCUCUGACGUUAGCGGCGGACGGGUGAGUAACACGUGGAUAACCUACCUAUAAGACUGGGAUAACUUCGGGAAACCGGAGCUAAUACCGGAUAAUAUAUUGAACCGCAUGGUUCAAUAGUGAAAGACGGUUUUGCUGUCACUUAUAGAUGGAUCCGCGCCGCAUUAGCUAGUUGGUAAGGUAACGGCUUACCAAGGCAACGAUGCGUAGCCGACCUGAGAGGGUGAUCGGCCACACUGGAACUGAGACACGGUCCAGACUCCUACGGGAGGCAGCAGUAGGGAAUCUUCCGCAAUGGGCGAAAGCCUGACGGAGCAACGCCGCGUGAGUGAUGAAGGUCUUCGGAUCGUAAAACUCUGUUAUUAGGGAAGAACAAAUGUGUAAGUAACGAUGCACGUCUUGACGGUACCUAAUCAGAAAGCCACGGCUAACUACGU